GAGAGUGCGCACGUUUGAUUUUGAACGACCAAUCGCAACGUUUGAAACGAGCAGAGACGAGCGUUAGGAUCGCCUGUAGUGCGCAAUCCACGUUGACAAUAAGAGCCGACCAGUAGUUGUGGGGCGCCUUUGUGACACCGUUAUGGCGCGAUGCAGUUAACAGCGGCAUUUUACUCGACAUUUUAUCGUAUUGUUUUGAUAACUAACACGUUUUCGGUGUUAUGCUAUAACCGAACUUCGAAACGUCGCUGUACGACAAAACACCGGGACGGUUCGGUUCGAUGUACCACUCUUAAUAAUUUCCGCCGGAUUCGGCGAUUCAAAUGUCAA
Non-coding RNA from Cinara cedri, 330 nucleotides. The record is from the annotation of a GenBank genome assembly. Lineage: Eukaryota; Metazoa; Arthropoda; Insecta; Hemiptera; Aphididae.